GGACAGUAUACGAGUGAGAAUGUUGGCAUGAGUAGCGAGACGUGGGUGAGAAUCCCACGGGCCGUAAAACCCAAGGUUUCCAGGGGAAGGUUCGUCCGCCCUGGGUUAGUCAGGACCUAAGCCGAGGCCGAAAGGCGUAGGUGAUGGACAACAGGUUGAUAUUCCUGUACCGCCAAUAAGCGUUUGAGAAAUGGGAUGACACAGUAGGAUAAGCUAACCACACUGUUGGUUAUGUGUGGCUAAGUACUGAGGCAGUCAAGAUAGGCAAAUCCGUCUUGAUGUUAAUGCUGGGGGUACGAUGGGGAGCGAAAUUAAGUAGCGAAGUAGCUGAUUUCACACUGUCGAGAAAAGUCUCUAUCGAGUUUAAAGGCGCCUGUACCUCAAACCGACACAGGUGGGUGAGGAGAGUAUCCUAAGGCCAGCGAGAGAACUAUUGUUAAGGAACUCGGCAAAAUGACCCCGUAACUUCGGGAGAAGGGGUGCCAUCUUCGGAUGGGCCGCAGAGAAUAGGCCCAAGCGACUGUUUAACCAAAACACAGGUUUCUGCUAAGUCGCAAGACGAUGUAUAGGAGCUGACGCCUGCCCGGUGCUGGAAGGUUAAGGGGAUCUGUUAGAGCAAUCGAAGCAGUGAACUUAAGCCCCAGUAAACGGCGGCCGUAACUAUAACGGUCCUAAGGUAGCGAAAUUCCUUGUCGGGUAAGUUCCGACCCGCACGAAAGGCGUAACGAUUUGGGCACUGUCUCAACAAUAGACUCGGUGAAAUUGUAAUCCCGGUGAAGAUGCCGGGUACCUGCGGACAGGACGGAAAGACCCCAUGGAGCUUUACUGUAGCUUGACGUUGGGGUCUUGGUACUACAUGUACAGGAUAGGUGGGAAACUAUGAAGCAUGGACGCCAGUCUGUGUGAAGUUUACCUUGGGAUACCACCCUUGUAGUACUGGGAUCCUAACCAUAGGCCUUGAAUCAGGUCUUGGGACACCGUCAGGUUGGGCAGUUUGACUGGGGCGGUCGCCUCCUAAAGAGUAACGGAGGCGCUCAAAGGUUCUCUCAGGCACGGUCGGAAAUCGUGCGUAGAGUGUAAAGGCAGAGAGAGGCUUGAUUGCAAGACAUACAGGUCGAGCAAGGACGAAAGUCGGACUUAGUGAUCCGGUGGUACCGCAUGGAAGGGCCAUCGCUCAACGGAUAAAAGCUACCCUGGGGGAUAACAGGCUUAUCUUCCCAAGAGGUCCACAUCGACGGGGAGGUUUUGGGCACCUCGAUUGUCGGGCUCAUCACAUCCUGGGGCUGUAGUAGGGUCCCAAGGGGUUGGGCUGUUCGGCCCAUUAAAGUGGUACGCGAGCUGGGUUCGAACGUGCGUGAGACAGUUCGGUCCCUAUCCGUCGCAGGCGUAGGAAAUUUGAGGAGACCUGUCCUUAGUACGAGAGGACCGGGAUGGACGUACCUCUGGUGUACCAGUUGUUCUGCCAAGGGCAUCGCUGGGUAGCUAUGUACGGAAUGGAUAAGCGCUGAAAGCAUCUAAGCGCGAGCCGACUUCAAGAUAAGAUUUCCCACCGUAAGGGUAAGACCCCCAGGAAGACUACCUGGUUGAUAGGUCGAAGGUGUAAGUGCGUAAUGUAUUUAGCUUACCGAUACUAAUAGGUCGAGGACUUGACCAA
RNAcentral lists this ribosomal RNA (1654 nucleotides) under Peptostreptococcaceae bacterium VA2. RNAcentral describes it as "bacterial LSU rRNA". It matches the Rfam family "Bacterial large subunit ribosomal RNA", at positions 1275 to 2925 of the family's 2925-position model. Lineage: Bacteria; Bacillati; Bacillota; Clostridia; Peptostreptococcales; Peptostreptococcaceae. The record is from RNAcentral.